RNAcentral lists this ribosomal RNA (1206 nucleotides) under Triticum aestivum (bread wheat). RNAcentral describes it as "partial small subunit ribosomal RNA". Lineage: Eukaryota; Viridiplantae; Streptophyta; Magnoliopsida; Poales; Poaceae. The record is from RNAcentral.
AUGGAUAGGCAAGGCAUUUCACCUUCGGUCUACAACAACAACGACAAGUUCAAUGCCACGAACAACUCCAACGUUGCCAAGAUGCAAGCUCAAAUGGAGGAGAUCAAGGCCCUCAUCAAGUCCUACAAGAGAUCUUCCUCAUAUUCGAGAAGACGCUCAAGAGCACAUGCUUCCGAGCUACCAUCUCCGGCAAGAUCACAUCGGCAUCGACACCACCACCGACAAGAACGUGAAGGUCAUGAGCUCAACACCAACUACCGCUCAACGACUUCACCAUCUCCCUUGGCAUCUUCGCCAAGCGACUUCAAGGCAUCUUCACCUACGGACAUACGACAUCUUCGCCAACAAGCACCUCAAGACCACGCUCAAGAGAAGCUCCCCAAGCUCAAGUCUGCGACCUCCACGAGCUACUACGACCUCGACACCGACCAUGCGAUUCCUUUCUAUGGGACUCAAGAACCCGAGGAGUAUCUCGAGUGGGAGUGCUUAAUGCACGACUACCUCAAGCUACAUCAAGUACCUCCCGAAGAUCAAGUGAAGUACGCCACAAGGAACUUCCACGACUACGCGUCCACAUGGUGGCUUCACACACCUUCGGAGGGCUACGACAUGAGUUGGCCAGACGAAGAGAUCUUUGCAGCGAGAGUUCGUGCGGAGCAUCCUAUGGACAUCACCAUGUCAAGAGUCCGUUUGGAAGGUGACACGUGCGACAUCUACUUCACAUACAUAAAGGUGAAUCAUCUCCUUUACACGUGCCCACUUGACCCCUUCGAGGAUGGUAUACUACUUGACACUCCACUCGUGGGCAUGCAUAGGUAUUGUCGGAACGGUACGGACGACGAGGAGGAGUGCGAGCGCAAGUGUACAACUACACCAUCUGCGAGGGAAGCGUGGAAGCGAAGACGGAAGAAGACGGAGCUGCAGAAUCUACAGUGGCCAGACGUCCGACGUGCCACCAGACGCCCAACACUCUACAGCGCCCGGACGACCGAUGUCCACCGGACGUCUGACGCGACCACGCCAGGACUAGCCAGGAGAUCUACAGCUGCCGGACGACCGCGUCGGAAGUCCGACACCCUCCAGACGUCUGGACCCCCGCGAGCGACCGGACGUCCGACCCCGACCGGACGUCCGACACUGCCUGUGCGCAGCUGGGCCUUUGGCCUUGUAUCCCUCUCCCACUUACCCCUUCGUGGCUUAGAGUAA